ACACAUGCAAGUCGGGCGCUCACUUCGGUGGGAGCGGCGGACGGGUUAGUAACGCGUGGGAACGUACCCAGAUCUAGGGAAUAGCCACUGGAAACGGUGAGUAAUACCUUAUACGCCCCCUUUUAGAGAUAUUAGGGGGGAAAGAUUUAUCGGAUUUGGAUCGGCCCGCGUUAGAUUAGAUAGUUGGUGGGGUAAUGGCCUACCAAGUCUACGAUCUAUAGCUGGUUUUAGAGGAUGAUCAGCAACACUGGGACUGAGACACGGCCCAGACUCCUACGGGAGGCAGCAGUGGGGAAUCUUGGACAAUGGGCGCAAGCCUGAUCCAGCCAUGCCGCGUGAGUGAUGAAGGCCUUAGGGUCGUAAAGCUCUUUCGCCUGUGAAGAUAAUGACGGUAGCAGGUAAAGAAACCCCGGCUAACUCCGUGCCAGCAGCCGCGGUAAUACGGAGGGGGUUAGCGUUGUUCGGAAUUACUGGGCGUAAAGCGCACGUAGGCGGACUGGAAAGUAUGGGGUGAAAUCCCAGGGCUCAACCCUGGAACUGCCUCAUAAACUCCCAGUCUUGAGUUCGAGAGAGGUGAGUGGAAUUCCGAGUGUAGAGGUGAAAUUCGUAGAUAUUCGGAGGAACACCAGUGGCGAAGGCGGCUCACUGGCUCGAUACUGACGCUGAGGUGCGAAAGUGUGGGGAGCAAACAGGAUUAGAUACCCUGGUAGUCCACACCGUAAACGAUGAAUGCCAGUCGUCGGGUAGCAUGCUAUUCGGUGACACACCUAACGGAUUAAGCAUUCCGCCUGGGGAGUACGGUCGCAAGAU
This 810-nucleotide ribosomal RNA is filed under the name uncultured bacterium. RNAcentral's name for it is "bacterial SSU rRNA". It matches the Rfam family "Bacterial small subunit ribosomal RNA", at positions 51 to 894 of the family's 1533-position model. The record is from RNAcentral.